RNAcentral lists this ribosomal RNA (292 nucleotides) under uncultured bacterium. Its description in RNAcentral is "partial 16S ribosomal RNA". It matches the Rfam family "Bacterial small subunit ribosomal RNA", at positions 505 to 796 of the family's 1533-position model. The record is from RNAcentral.
GUGCCAGCAGCCGCGGUAAUACAGAGGUCUCGAGCGUUGAUCGGAAUUAUUGGGCUUAAAGGGUGCGUAGGCGGUCCCGUAAGUACUUUGUGAAAUCCCAUGGCUCAACCAUGGAAUUGCUCGGUAGACUGCGGGACUUGAGGUUGGUAGGGGUCGCUGGAACUCUAGGUGGAGCGGUGAAAUGCGUAGAUAUCUAGAGGAACGCCAAAGGUGAAGACAGGCGACUGGGCCAAUUCUGACGCUGAGGCACGAAAGCGUGGGUAGCGAACGGGAUUAGAUACCCCGGUAGUCC